GCGAAGUGCGGAGACGGGGUUUUGGAGACGGUGGAUGGAGGAGGGGGAGGGAAAGCUGCCAACUUUGGAUACCAACCCCGUACACCCACCGAAGGGGAUGUCCCACUUUUUCCAGCGCUGGGAGCAAAAAGAUAACAGUGAGCGAGGUUGAAAAGACUUCAGCCCUAGGGGCAUUGCCAGAGCGUUUCAAAGAGGUUGCUACCGGUACUACAACAAGUACAUCAACGUGAAGAAGGGGAGCAUCUCUGGGUUUACCAUGGUGCUGGCAGGCUAGAUGCUCUUCAGCUACUGACUUUCCUACAAGGAGCUCAAGCACCAGCAGCUACUCAAGUAUCACUGAAGAAGAAGGCACACUCCGCACUCCCCCACACGACCUUCUUGGCCCGAGCCCCUCCAUAAGGGAGACAGUCUCGAUAGUUGCUGAAUCCUUUCAUAUUCUAAUGGGAAUUAACCUCCAAG
RNAcentral lists this long non-coding RNA (459 nucleotides) under Homo sapiens (human). RNAcentral describes it as "non-protein coding lnc-ESRP1-2:10". Lineage: Eukaryota; Metazoa; Chordata; Mammalia; Primates; Hominidae. The record is from RNAcentral.